UACGGAGGGGGCUAGCGUUGUCCGAAGUUACUGGGCGUAAAGCGCGCGUAGGCGGGUUGGUAAGUCCGCUGUGAAAGCCCGGAGCUCAACUCCGGAGGGUCGGUGGAUACUGCCAGUCUUGAAGGUGCUAGGGGGAGAUGGAAUUACCGGUGUAGCGGUGAAAUGCGUAGAUAUCGGUAGGAACACCAGUGGCGAAGGCGGUCUCCUGGGGCAUUCUUGACGCUGAGGCGCGAAAGCGUGGGGAGCGAACAGG
RNAcentral lists this ribosomal RNA (253 nucleotides) under uncultured bacterium. RNAcentral's name for it is "partial 16S ribosomal RNA". It matches the Rfam family "Bacterial small subunit ribosomal RNA", at positions 524 to 776 of the family's 1533-position model. The record is from RNAcentral.